GAGGGGCAGCGGAGGCGAGUGCUUGCACUUGCCAGACGGCGACCGGCGCACGGGUGAGUAACACGUAUGCGACCUGCCCGUAGCAGGGGGAUAAGCGGAAGAAAUUCCGUCUAAUACCGCGUAAUAUCUUUCGGGGGCAUCCCUGAGGGAUUAAAGGAAGCGAUUCCGGCUACGGAUGGGCAUGCGGCGCAUUAGCUAGUCGGCGGGGUAACGGCCCACCGAGGCGACGAUGCGUAGGGGUUCUGAGAGGAAGGUCCCCCACACUGGUACUGAGACACGGACCAGACUCCUACGGGAGGCAGCAGUGAGGAAUAUUGGUCAAUGGGCGAGAGCCUGAACCAGCCAAGUCGCGUGAGGGAAGACGGUCCUAUGGAUUGUAAACCUCUUUUGUCGGGGAGCAAAAAGGCCUCGUGAGGCCACAAGCGAGAGUACCCGAAGAAAAAGCAUCGGCUAACUCCGUGCCAGCAGCCGCGGUAAUACGGAGGAUGCGGGCGUUAUCCGGAUUUAUUGGGUUUAAAGGGUGCGUAGGCGGACUGGAAAGUCAGCGGUAAAAUCGAGAGGCUCAACCUCUUUCCGCCGUUGAAACUGUCGGUCUUGAGUGGGCGAGAAGUAUGCGGAAUGCGUGGUGUAGCGGUGAAAUGCAUAGAUAUCACGCAGAACUCCGAUUGCGAAGGCAGCAUACCGGCGCCCGACUGACGCUGAGGCACGAAAGCGUGGGUAUCGAACAGGAUUAGAUACCCUGGUAGUCCACGCAGUAAACGAUGAAUACUAAUUGUCCGGUCAGAAUGAUGACUGGGUGAUACAGCGAAAGCGUUAAGUAUUCCACCUGGGGAGUACGCCGGCAACGGUGAGACUCAAAGGAAUUGACGGGGGCCCGCACAAGCGGAGGAACAUGUGGUUUAAUUCGAUGAUACGCGAGGAACCUUACCCGGGCUCAAACGUAGAAUGACAGACGGUGAAAGCCGUUUUCCCUUCGGGGCAGUCUACGAGGUGCUGCAUGGUUGUCGUCAGCUCGUGCCGUGAGGUGUCGGCUUAAGUGCCAUAACGAGCGCAACCCCCAUCUACAGUUGCUAACAGGUAAAGCUGAGGACUCUGUGGAGACUGCCGGCGCAAGCUGUGAGGAAGGCGGGGAUGACGUCAAAUCAGCACGGCCCUUACGUCCGGGGCGACACACGUGUUACAAUGGCAGGUACAGCGGGAAGCCAUAUGGCGACAUAGAGCGGAACCCGAAAACCUGUCUCAGUUCGGAUUGGAGUCUGCAACUCGACUCCAUGAAGCUGGAUUCGCUAGUAAUCGCGCAUCAGCCACGGCGCGGUGAAUACGUUCCCGGGC
This 1332-nucleotide ribosomal RNA is filed under the name uncultured bacterium. Its description in RNAcentral is "partial 16S ribosomal RNA". It matches the Rfam family "Bacterial small subunit ribosomal RNA", at positions 64 to 1379 of the family's 1533-position model. The record is from RNAcentral.